This 253-nucleotide ribosomal RNA is filed under the name uncultured bacterium. RNAcentral describes it as "partial 16S ribosomal RNA". It matches the Rfam family "Bacterial small subunit ribosomal RNA", at positions 524 to 776 of the family's 1533-position model. The record is from RNAcentral.
UACAGAGGUCCCAAGCGUUGUUCGGAUUUACUGGGCGUAAAGGGCGCGUAGGCGGUUCGUUAAGUCCUGUGUGAAAUCCCCCGGCUCAACUGGGGAACUGCACAGGAAACUAGCGGGCUUGAGUUCGGGAGAGGGAAGCGGAAUUCCGGGUGUAGCGGUGAAAUGCGUAGAUAUCCGGAGGAACACCGGUGGCGAAGGCGGCUUCCUGGACCGACACUGACGCUGAGGCGCGAAAGCUAGGGGAGCAAACGGG